Passer montanus (Eurasian tree sparrow) is the source of this 402-nucleotide long non-coding RNA. RefSeq lists it as uncharacterized. The record is from RefSeq and is a predicted model, not a curated record. The transcript has 3 exons. Lineage: Eukaryota; Metazoa; Chordata; Aves; Passeriformes; Passeridae.
CUGAGAAAAUUGAAAGCCUGGCUGGGAAAAAGGACUUCUUAUCUCUUCCCCUUUGCAGGGGAAGCAACCCUGAAGAAGGAUGGAAAAUCAAAUUGGAGCUGCUUAGCCAAGCAUCAGAGCUCAGGAGAGGGAUGGAGAGGCCUGGCAUAGGUGGAAUGGGUAUUUGUCCAACUGCUGUGAUGUUUCCAGGUUAACCUUACUGAGAAAGAAAACUUCUCCUCUUCUUCACCAUCACCAUCACUGCAAGGAUGCAUGGGCCCUUUGGACCUGAGAAUCUGAAGACCUGGUGUCUGGUCCUAGCCUGUCACUGCUGACUGGGGUGAUUAUAUCUUGUGCAAAACACAUGUCAGAGAUUUCUGCCUGCAGUGCUGACCUGUACUGAAUAGAGAAAAUAAAGACGAA